UAGGGAAUCUUCGGCAAUGGACGAAAGUCUGACCGAGCAACGCCGCGUGAGUGAAGAAGGUUUUCGGAUCGUAAAACUCUGUUGUUAGAGAAGAACAAGGACGUUAGUAACUGAACGUCCCCUGACGGUAUCUAACCAGAAAGCCACGGCUAACUACGUGCCAGCAGCCGCGGUAAUACGUAGGUGGCAAGCGUUGUCCGGAUUUAUUGGGCGUAAAGCGAGCGCAGGCGGUUUCUUAAGUCUGAUGUGAAAGCCCCCGGCUCAACCGGGGAGGGUCAUUAGAAACUGGGAGACUUGAGUGCAGAAGAGGAGAGUGGAAUUCCAUGUGGAGCGGUGAAAUGCGUAGAUAUAUGGAGGAACACCAGUGGCGAAGGCGGCUCUCUGGUCUGUAACUGACGCUGAGGCUCGAAAGCGUGGGGAGCAAACAGG
RNAcentral lists this ribosomal RNA (429 nucleotides) under Gemmatimonadota bacterium. RNAcentral describes it as "Gemmatimonadetes bacterium partial 16S ribosomal RNA". It matches the Rfam family "Bacterial small subunit ribosomal RNA", at positions 355 to 776 of the family's 1533-position model. The record is from RNAcentral. Lineage: Bacteria; Pseudomonadati; Gemmatimonadota.